AGUGUGGCUGGCUUGCAGACAAUGCGGGAGGGAUGGUGAAGAGGAAGUGUCCAUGUGGCUCCGUGUCGAUGUUAGAAAAGGCGAAAUGGAAGGAGUGUGCCUGACACUUGGAGCAGAAGGUGGGGAGAUUUGGGAUAGAUGGAGCUGUGCAGCAACAGAUCAUUACUCAGGAAAGAAUGCCAUGCGGCAAGUAGGAGAGGCCUGAAGUCAUUUCCCGAAUGGCCCCAGGAGACUUUGAAUAUUCCUUCAAAGCGGGUGAUGUCAUCAAAGAGACCACAGGAGGUGAGGAGUGCGUGGAGCGCCUCCCUACAGAGCAGAGACACCGAUCCAGCAUGUGCUGAAAUUCAUCUCUGGUAAGCAAAGCACUAGUGCACAUGCUUACCUUUGAGCACGCAUUUCAGGGCCAUUGCCGCCAAUGGGACUUCAGCACAUGCCUGACGAGAAGCACAUGCUCUGGUGCUUUGCGGAAUAGGACCGGUCUGCUCAACUGGGGCCAGGGAGUACCAAGCUGCCGUGAAACAAUGUGCCAGG
Mauremys reevesii (Reeves's turtle) is the source of this 531-nucleotide long non-coding RNA. RefSeq lists it as uncharacterized. The record is from RefSeq and is a predicted model, not a curated record. The transcript is spliced from 3 exons. Lineage: Eukaryota; Metazoa; Chordata; Testudines; Geoemydidae.